CAGGUCUUGACAUCCUCUGACACUCCUAGAGAUAGGACGUUCCCCUUCGGGGGACAGAGUGACAGGUGGUGCAUGGUUGUCGUCAGCUCGUGUCGUGAGAUGUUGGGUUAAGUCCCGCAACGAGCGCAACCCUUGAUCUUAGUUGCCAGCAUUCAGUUGGGCACUCUAAGGUGACUGCCGGUGACAAACCGGAGGAAGGUGGGGAUGACGUCAAAUCAUCAUGCCCCUUAUGACCUGGGCUACACACGUGCUACAAUGGAUGGUACAAAGGGCUGCAAAACCGUGAGGUCGAGCCAAUCCCAUAAAACCAUUCUCAGUUCGGAUUGUAGGCUGCAACUCGCCUACAUGAAGCUGGAAUCGCUAGUAAUCGUGGAUCAGCAUGCCACGGUGAAUACGUUCCC
RNAcentral lists this ribosomal RNA (401 nucleotides) under uncultured soil bacterium. RNAcentral's name for it is "bacterial SSU rRNA". It matches the Rfam family "Bacterial small subunit ribosomal RNA", at positions 975 to 1375 of the family's 1533-position model. The record is from RNAcentral.